RNAcentral lists this small nuclear RNA (23 nucleotides) under Arabidopsis thaliana (thale cress). RNAcentral describes it as "snRNA_08097". Lineage: Eukaryota; Viridiplantae; Streptophyta; Magnoliopsida; Brassicales; Brassicaceae. The record is from RNAcentral.
UUCCCAAUGGAACACACCACCGA